CACGUAGGGGGCGAGCGUUGUCCGGAUUUAUUGGGCGUAAAGAGCUCGUAGGCGGCUUUGUCAGUCGGGUGUGAAACCUCCAGGCUCAACCUGGAGACGCCACUCGAUACUGGCGUGACUAGAGUUCGGUAGGGGAUCACGGAAUUCCUGGUGUAGCGGUGAAAUGCGCAGAUAUCAGGAGGAACACCGGUGGCGAAGGCGGUGAUCUGGGCCGACACUGACGCUGUAGAGCGAAAGCGUGGGGAGCGAACAGG
Molecule: ribosomal RNA, 254 nt
Filed under: uncultured bacterium
Lineage: Bacteria
Description: partial 16S ribosomal RNA
Rfam family: Bacterial small subunit ribosomal RNA
Source: RNAcentral